UCGUCAGUAUGUUGGAUGUACGUAUUGAACUUGAAUUCCUGAAUGAUAUAUUUUGAGAUAGAUGAUGUGUCGGUAUUAAUACCCUGUAAAGGAAGGUAAAGUUGUAUUUUGUGAGUAUCUCUUUAUAAUUACAGUGCAUGUAUGUUUCAUUAUAUUACGUUAUUUUGAUUGGCUAACAGAAAUCUCUACGUGCUUCGUACAAAAAUGUACUUCGGUCGAUUCUUUUACAUCCAAUGAAUUUACAAAAAGUAAUUUAAGAAAGGGUAGUAAUUUUCGAUUAACAUCAUAUGACAUAUUCUUCACUUAGACCUGGUGAAUGACCUCAGAAAUAAAACAAAUCUGACGAUCAAGUACGGCGACAGUUGUUUAUCGAUGCUAAAAUAUCGUGACGCGAUUAAUAAUAUCGUCAGAUCAAGGUAAAACACACCGAAGAGUAGAAUCGCAUGAACCUCAAAAGGAGCGGAAUCGGAGUUGUCAUAAUUAUUCAUGCAGAAAGUUUGAUUUUGUUUUAAAUAUAAAGUAAUUAACAGACCAUUGCGUUUUUGACAAACAUAAUAUUAUCGAGAACUGCAACAUUAAUCCUCUUUUUCAUUGGUCAAAUGUUUUAUUUUUAAGCAGUCGGCUUCGUCUUCAUCUUUAGAAAUAAGAUAAUUCAAUAUUUUAUCAAAUUUUAAAAUGAUAUUAUUUACUAAAUCAAUAUAAUCAAAAAGAGUUACCAGUGUUUAUUGGGUUGAUCAAGUGUUACAUUUAUAGUCUCAGUCAGAAAUGUAUACCCGUAUAUAUAAUGUUGUUGGGUAUACAUAUUAUAAGAUAAGCAAUGAGAGGCACUUGAUAUGUGGAUUUUAUGUCCAAUAUGAUCAGAUGCUUUGUAUCUUAUUUAACAACUUUCCAUUAAAGGCCGUUGCUGGUUAAUUAAAGGGUUGAUAUCAUAGUUCAUUUAAUUUAAUUUUUAACAAAUUUACCAAUAUAAUUGAAAUUUAGUCUUGUUUACAGACGAUAAAUUUGUUUGAGCACUAUUAUUUUUAAAUGGGAAGAAAAACUAUCUUUCAUCGGCUAUUGAUUGUAUAUGACUAGUCAAAUUCAUGUCUUCUGUGUCUUGGUAUUACAUUCAUGAUGUACUUUGAAAAUUUGGAAUAAGACUGUGAUUUUCGUCAACUUCAAAGUCAUUUCAAGCAUGUAACAUCUCUUUUAACAAUUAUAUCAUGAUUUUGUUAUGAUUUUAGUUAUAUUUUUUUUGUUAAAACAAUUGCGUUAUAUUUAUCUAAUAAGUUCCUGGAAUAGAUACAGUGUCUUUUCUUAUUCAACUCUUACGGGUAGACGGUGUACCAAAAGCGUUUAUACAUAUAAUACUACUGAAGGGAGACUGAAUUACUUUCUUAAAAAAUGAUUUUAUCUAUAGAUGUACUGAACUAGUACACAUUUUCAUCACGGGGCCAGUUGAGGCCCACCUCCGGAUGCGGGAUUUUCUCGCUGUGUUGAAGACCCAUUUUAGUGGCCUUUGGUUGUUUUCGGCUCUUUGUUCGGGUUUUUUGUCUCGUUGAGAUAUUCCCCAUUUCCAUUAUCAACUUUAUUAGCAGGUGUCAUAAGAUUUUAUCAUUUUCGAUAUUAAGACACUCGUAAUCUUAAGAUAAUAACGGAAAUGUUUUGUUUUGUAUUGAUCACAAUGCAUUCCUCAUCUCUUCGAGUAUGUCGUCUGGAAUGAACUUACCUUUGACUUUUGACAUUCUUUGAACAACAUCACGGGGCCCGUUAAAAAGACAGGGACUGUUUAUAGUCAUCGGGCACCUGAGAUCGCCAACGGCUUUCGGUUUGAUUCUUGCUCUUCUGAGAAUUGUUUUUGUGGAUUGUUGUUUGCCGUAAAUCGUUUUUCUUUUGAUCAAGGUGUAGUCUUUUAGUUUUAGACUUAUAAUUUUUGAUUGCCACCGUAAUGUUUUCUGUCGUAUUAAAUAAUUAAAUGUCUGUGUUAUGAGUGAAAGAAAAACCAAUUGUUAAACGCCUUACAAUUUGCUUUUUAUCACCGUGUUUAUAAGAUAUUUAAUAUAUUUUAUAUUAUAUUUUCACUUUAUUAAUUGACAAAUUGUCUUAUCAAGUAUACGUAUCCUACAUUUAUGUAAUAUAUAGUCAUAUCUCGAUUUCCUGAAAUCAAAAUAAUUUUUCAGCUUGGUGCAUUCUUAUAACGAUUUAUAAGUCGAAUGUGUUGUUUUCCGUUUCAUUGUUUCAUUAAAUUAGUGAAGUUUCUUAAGCAUUUUCUAUUCAGUUUAUGGAAAACCCACAACUGUCACACAAUUGAAAUAAGAUAAAGUAAAGACAUAAACAGAGAGGAUAUGUUAUAAUGAAGAUUUGUUAUAAUGAAAGUUCGAAGGUACACGUUCUGAAGACCGGAGAUAUGACUAUAUAAAGAUCUUUUGUGUAAUUAUACAUGUUAUAGAAGACAAUACACUCAGUAUACUUUCAAACUGUACAUUCCAAAACCCGACAUUGUUAUUGAAAUGUUUUUAUUGAAUAAAAUUUGCGUUUUUUUAAGAUGUUUUAAAACGUAUCACAAAC
RNAcentral lists this long non-coding RNA (2547 nucleotides) under Mytilus galloprovincialis (Mediterranean mussel). The record is from RNAcentral. Lineage: Eukaryota; Metazoa; Mollusca; Bivalvia; Mytilida; Mytilidae.